CUCGAUGCUCCGCCGCUCGCGGCUGGGGGGUCCGGGGCCGCGUCUCCUCUCCUCCCUCCGCCUCUCCUCUUUCCUCCUUCCUGCUGCCUCUUCUUUUAAAGCGGAUUCUUUGGCCACAAAUAGCAACUCGGCUGCCCCCCUCGGUGCCUCCCUCCCCUUCUCUUCUUCCCCCCAAAAGUGAAGCGCACGCGAGGAGCUGAAAAGCUGUGCAGGGAUGAUGGACCCUUGCCCCCUGUGACCUAAGGAUGGAUCCAGAAAUCUCAGCCUCCCCAUAGGUAAAGAAACGAAGACCCUGAGAAUUUAAAAUCAUCCAACUAUUUGGUGCCAGAAGCAGGACAAGAACUCAGACAUCAUGAUCCAGUGCCCUCCAUCCCACCAGCUAUUCAUCAUCACCUCCACAUUCUGGAUCAAAGAAGCCAGUUUUCCAACUUAUCAAUGAGCAAUACAUAUAGAAUAUUUUUAAAACUCCAAAUACUUUUAUGAAGGAAAAAUGAAGCAAUAGGACAAGACAUUUUCUUCGUUUCCUUCCAGCUCUAACAUUCUGUGAUAAAUAGCACACAGGAGCUUUGCUAUAGCACUACCCCCUCUAGUGCAUAAUUCAGCAUACGAUGAGUAUGAGUCUGUUUUGGACCCCAUCCAAAGGAGUUAGUUCCUAGAAGUACUUGGAAGAUUUAUUCUCAUUUAUCAUGAGGCAUCCUAACAGGAGACUAAAAAUAAUCACGAUGACAAUAAUAGUAAUCAGUUGUUACACUUGUAUUAUGUACUAAGCAUCGUGCUAAGCAUGUUAAAGUUCACCUGUUUUUGAAAAGGCACUUCAUGACCUUAUGUGGGUUGCGAAUCUAGUGGGUCAUAAACAAUUUCUGAAAUGAAAGAAAAGUAGGAAAAAACACAGAGUGCAUUAUACAUACUAAGUUGUUUUAUUUUUUAUUUUUUUAUUUUUUUUGCAAAACUUCCUUUUUGAUCAUGUGGCUAGUGAUUAAAAGUUUGGAAGCACUGCCUCGUUUCCAAUCUUAACUGCCUUGCUAGUUAAGUAUUAUUAGCCCCAUUAUAUAAGUGAGGAAACAGGACGAGAGAGGAUAAGUAAUUUGGCCAAGCUGACACAGUGAGUGGCCAAGCUAGAAUUUUGAACCUAGAUCUGUUUGACUUCAAAUCCAAUAUUUUCACUUCUAUAGUGAUGAUAAAUUAUUGACCAAGGUAUGGAAUAAAUUGUUGCUAAUCAUGUUUUCUUUGUGAGGACUACUGGGGUUUUUAUUAAAUCCAGCUAAAUGGAGAAACACAGCAUAGAUUCAAGUGACAUGUUCGGAAGAGAGUGAGGAAUUUCAUAAAACACUAAAUCUAAUAUCUAAGACCUUUUCCUGUAGGUGUUAGCUUAUGUCUAAUACACUUUAUUGACUUACUGCUAAAUACAUAAAUGAAACAAUAAUAGUUUCAGUCCUCAAAUAACAAUAUUCACUUCUACGUGUGUUUCUAUUUUUAUUUCAGAGAGUAUUUUUCAAAUUUAAGUUAUACAGCAUUUCUCAGUAGCUUGCUUUGGCCAAACACAGAACUAGCACAUAAGAAAGCUAAAAGGCCAGGCACUGUGGCUCACACCUGUAAUCCCAGCACUUUUGGAGGCCAAGGCAGGCAGAUCACUUGAGGUCAGGAGUUUGAAAUCAGCCUGGCCAACAUGGUGAAACCCGUCUCUACUAAAAAUACAAAAAUUAUCUGGGCGUGGUGGCACGUGUCUGUAAUCCCAGCUACUCGGGAGGCUGAGACAGGAGAAUUGCUUGAACCCAGGAGGUGGAGGUUGAAGUGAGCCGAGAUCACGCCAUUGCACUCCAGACUGGGCAACAGAGCCAGACUCUGUCUCAAGAAUAAAUUAAAAAGCAGCCAGACAACCCUAUCAUUCAAAUUCAAUUGUAAAGAAGAAAAGAAGAUAUUAAUUAAGGUGCCAUGCUAAAUUUUUUGACCCAUGUAGUUCUAUGGAUUCUACCAGUAACAUUGCAUGCUUAGGUGUCAUUACUCCCAUUCUGCAGAUUUGAAAGCUCAAACUCAGAACUAGCUGAUGAUUGAAAUCACCUGUUCUGAUUCCACUACCCAAAGAUUCUUUACAAACAAGUGGGCUUCCAGUAGAAAAGGAGGCAGCUGGAGAUUUUGAGACAUGUUGUGCAAUCAUUUAUGCUUUCUUUUUCCACGUGAAAAAAAUACACUUUCCUUUUCUUCAAGGCAGCAUCUCUUCUUGCUGUUAGGCAGCACUGUCCUCUUUAAGAAAAGAAAUCCACAUCUUCAUGGAUGAAAUUGGAAACCAUCAUUCUCAGUAAACUAUCGCAAGAACAAAAAAGCAAACACCGCAUAUUCUCACUCAUAGGUGGGAAUUGAACAGUGAGAUCACAUGGACACAGGAAGGGGAACAUCACACUCUGGGGACGGUUGUGGGGUGGUGGGGGGGAGGGAGAGCAUCGGGAGAUAUACCUAAUGCUAGAUGACGCGUUAGUGGGUGCAGCGCACCAGCAUGGCACAUGUAUACGUAUGUAACUAACCUGCACAAUGUGUACAUGUACCCUAAAACUUAAAGUAUAAUAAUAAUAAAAAAAAGAAAUCCACAUCUUUCAUAAAGAAAGGCCUAGAAAAGCCAUACCUCCUCCACUGACUGCUCUGUUCAGCUGCUGCACUUCACCCUCACCUGCAGUGUGUAGAGGACGUUAUGGUACAAUGCUAUUUGCUACUGGCUCUGCUACUGGAGAUUACAGCAUGCGACUGUGACAAUACUGGCUCUGCUACUGGAGAUCACAGCAUGCGACUGUGACAAAUGGAUAUUCCCAUUAAAUUCUUUAGUAGACUGGGGCAUUCCAUUAACCAUUGGCACUAUCCCAACCCAAGUGAAACACUGGGUCAUUUUUUUCUUGUGAGCAAGAAGUGAAGGGAGAAAACAAAGGAUAUACUCUAAUUACCUUUCCUAUUUCUUUUUUGUUGCAUGCAUUAUGAUAACUGUAUAUUACACUUAUUUAUAAUUAAUAUAUGACAAGCUGUCAGCUAAAAUUUAACAGGUGAUUUGUCAAGAAGGCCCAUUAAUGCAUACAUUAAGCAGUGGAUUUCAGUGUUUCCUAACAAAAUUGUGUAUUGGUUUUGUUUUUUCAUUCUAUUUAGUAUAAACAUUUUGAGGCCACCUAUCUUUACAUUUUGCAGCAUUUUUAAAAAAUAAAACUAUUGCUAACAUAAAUGGGUGCAUUGUUAGUUAUAUGAGGUAUAAACACAUUUCUGUCACCUUAACCUCUAAAUUUGUUUCACUGAGGAAACAAAUUGCCUAGUGUUUAUUUUAAAGUUUUAACUUUCAUGGGUUUUGAUACAUUUUUUAAAUUAUAUCUUCAGUAGGAAAGGCAGAGCUGAUUAGGGAGGAAAGCAACUGCAGUUACUUAUGUUCCAUUUAGUGUUUGUAUCUUAGGUAAGAAAAUUCUGAAAUGAAGGAAUAUUUUAAAAUACAGAAAAAGAUUAAGAAGUCACCAGAAAGCUAGUAGUUAAUCAUUGAAUAAAGGAACACUCUACAGAGACCAAAAACUGAUGAAACAGGCUCCAUCUUGCUGAAUGGCGCAAGAAUGGGAAACACAAUGGAAAUGAAUCACAGAUAGUUGUGAGGAGGAUUCUUUGAAAGAAGGAAAACUCUGUUUCUCUAUCUGUAGGAUGUCAAAUCAUGGGACAUAACCUGAAAAGGAAGUUAAAUUUUGAACUUCAAUAUUAUUAUUUCCAUGGUCAACCAAAAUUUGUACUGUUUAAGAGAAAGAUACAAAAGUACUGCAGCAUUUGUUUAAAAUUUCAUUUGCACAAGCCUGACUCUUAUCUCUCAAGACUCGGACAUGCUUCAGGCAGUUAAUGACUCACAAUCCACUACUCUAGAGGGUGCUGAAUCUCCUUAAUGAAAGAAUGUGCUUUAAGAUUCAAUGGUUAGGAAGAGAGAAAUAAACGAGAGUAAAACACGAAGCACAGCAGUUUUUCAAAGCUAGUAAGACUUCUGCGUCCACCAACCAACUUUAGCUCUUACAUUUUUAGAAAGAAAGCACUAACACAGAACCAUGAAAUUAUUUUUAAAGGUUCUUUCUAACAGGGUUUCAGAGGAUGGUUUCCAAAAAACUCACUCAGAAGUGAAAUACCACACGUUGAUUUUCACGUUGCAGGGAGCGCAUUCCUAUGCAGUUCAGGGAUUAUAAAUGACCAGUGGCAAGUUGGUCAUUGUAUCCUGGGCCAGGAUCUCACUGUCUCCAGAUCUUGCUUUGUUUUCCAUAUGCAGCAGAGUCCCCAUGAGUAACUGGGGGUGUUUCCUUGUGCAUUCAGUAACAGUUUUCAAAACAGUGAAUAUAGCAAGGCAUCAAGACUACUAUAUUUCUGCCACUUUUCUAAUGUUUUCUCUUUGUCUUAUACUUCUGUUCUUGUCUUACACUUGUAUUAAAAACACAAUAAAGAAAACAGCUUUGUACAAGCUAGUAUUUUGGCCAUAAUUAUACUUUUCUCUGUCUUCUCAAUGAAUAAGAAAAUUUUGGGCCA
Molecule: long non-coding RNA, 4515 nt
Filed under: Homo sapiens (human)
Lineage: Eukaryota; Metazoa; Chordata; Mammalia; Primates; Hominidae
Description: non-protein coding PTPRD-AS1:9
Source: RNAcentral